RNAcentral lists this long non-coding RNA (996 nucleotides) under Bos indicus x Bos taurus (hybrid cattle). Its description in RNAcentral is "lncRNA (ENSBIXG00005011426.1)". Lineage: Eukaryota; Metazoa; Chordata; Mammalia; Artiodactyla; Bovidae. The record is from RNAcentral.
CCUCAAUGGAAAAAUGUAUUCUUUGAAAUCUUAAUGUCCUCUGGCUCACAAAAUAUUGAGAGAUGUUUUCACUGAUGCUGCUGUGAGUGCCCUAGCAACUGCCUUUCUGUCCAUUUCACACUCAUGCCUAGCAGCUACAUGUGGCCCCAUUCCCAGGCCAGGAAUGCUCACAGUGGACGCUGUUCUGAAGACGUCUUUUCUAAGCCCCAGAGCAAGAUGCACUAUCUCAUGGCCAGUUCAUGGGCUUCAAAGCUUGAUGGAAGCAAAGUCAACAGUCUUGUCUCCUUGAGUGGCACAUACUCAAGGGUUCAUUGCUUUCCUUUACUUCUACAAAACAUUAACUUUACUGGGUCACUGCAUCUCAUUGCAAUAAUCUGGCCAUCUCUUAAGUACCUCCUUGUGAUAACAUCUUAGUAGUUACAGCAUGUGCUUUUAUAGAAUGUAUUUGUUUCAUUUCUCACAACACUGUACACUGCUUUUCCCAACCCCUGAAAAGUGUAGACUUCAAUAAUCUACUGCCUCCAGGACUAUAACCUGCAAGGAACCUAUCUACAACUUCACUGCCUGCAUCUCAUUCUUCCUACCCGUCCUUCAAACACACACACACCCCUUGACAUUUACCCACUGAAACUUUUCCCCAGAUUUCCAAAACACUGUCCCAAGUCGCUGCCUUAUGUGUGUCAGUCACAUUCCCCUUAGGAAAUGAUUUCAGGAGAGUUCAAAAAAUAGACUACUACAGAGCUGAGGAUUGAGGAAAAGCCUAGUGUGAUGCAAUGGCCCCAGGGCUACCAAGAGCAGAAAAUUAUUACAACCUUCAGAAAUAUUCUCAGUUUUGAUUUACAAUGACAAGGAAACUUUGGGAUUUUUGUUAGCUGUGGCAGCCACAGAAGCAUACCAUUCAGUUCCCCAGUGAAGAAAGGAGUAGACUUGGGAAAUGCAAGCGUGGGGCUAGCUGACGGCUUCCAGGAGUGAGAAUUGUGAGAGUAUUCGGCUUUU